UUUGCGGAGAGUUUGAUCCUGGCUCAGGAUGAACGCUGGCGGCGUGCUUAAUACAUGCAAGUCGAACGGAGACUGUGUAGCAAUACUUGGUCUUAGUGGCGAACGGGUGCGUAACGCGUUGGUGACCUGCCCCGAAGAGGGGGAUAACAGUUCGAAAGGACUGCUAAUACCCCAUGUGGUCAUGGAGGUUAGAGACUCGAUGACUAAAGCAGCAAUGCACUUCGGGAGGGGCCUGCGUCCCAUCAGCUAGUUGGUAGGGUAACGGCCUACCAAGGCUUCGACGGGUAGGGGACCUGAGAGGGUGGUCCCCCACAUUGGCACUGAAACACGGGCCAAACACCUACGGGUGGCAGCAGUAGGGAAUAUUGGGCAAUGGGCGAAAGCCUGACCCAGCAACGCCGCGUGUGCGAUGAAGGCCUUCGGGUCGUAAAGCACUUUUCUGGGAGAUGAGAAAGGACAGUAUCCCAGGAAU
RNAcentral lists this ribosomal RNA (472 nucleotides) under Anaerolineales bacterium. Its description in RNAcentral is "bacterial SSU rRNA". It matches the Rfam family "Bacterial small subunit ribosomal RNA", at positions 1 to 487 of the family's 1533-position model. The record is from RNAcentral. Lineage: Bacteria; Bacillati; Chloroflexota; Anaerolineae; Anaerolineales.